Ornithorhynchus anatinus (platypus) is the source of this 3083-nucleotide long non-coding RNA. RefSeq lists it as uncharacterized. The record is from RefSeq and is a predicted model, not a curated record. NCBI's taxonomy places the organism in Eukaryota, Metazoa, Chordata, Mammalia, Monotremata, Ornithorhynchidae. The transcript has 2 exons.
CGUGCCGGCGCUCGUCAUUGGGCGGCCCGGCCGUGAUUGACGGGGCCGGGAGCCUAUCGGCGACGGCGGCCCGGCCGCCUUUAAGCCCCGCCCCGAUCUCCCUGGCAACAGCCAAUGGGGGGGGGCCCCGCGGGUCACGUCAUCGUCUAACGAUGCGACCGGGAAGGUGAGGAGCGGCCCCAGCCGCUUCCAGAAAACGCUGUCCUCGCCACCAUGAUGGGCCCCCUCUCAGUGGGUGGCGAGGGCUCCUCUUCAGGGGAGAACGGCCUCAGUCAGUGGGACAGUCCGGCCUGGGCAGCCUCAACCAGAGGCAGGAAGGAAAUAUCCCCCUCUUACCGUAGCCUCCGUUUAGAAGGGAAAGUCAGGGCUCAGAGGAACCAGAGGGGACCUGACCUUUCCUUACUCCAGUCCAUCUUUUGGGGACCGUCGCCCCAGUCUCCUUUUCAACCGUCGACCGUUUAAUUUAUUGAGCUGAGGGUUCCUCUCCAGGAUCGGGCCGGGAUUUUUGCUGCCCUCCUUGGGCAGAGGAGUGAGGCUGGGUUGCCGUCGUGGGGCCUGCGACCCCUGCGCAGGCCCCCCAUUACAGCCCUGCCCGAGCCCCCCUUUGUGAUCUCAAAAUGGUGUCGUGAGGGUGAGCCGGCCUCCCCUCUGGGGAUGGUUGGGUCGCCACCCCUUCACGUCCGGAUCUUCCCCGGGUCUCCGUCGUCGGGGACGGGCCCGACGGGGCCGUCCCGCCGGACUGGGGGUGAACGGUUCAGUGGGAGAUCAAUCGGUGGUCCCUGUUGAGCGCUUACCGUGUGCAGAGCACUGAACUUGUGCUUGGGGGAGGGCGAUGGACCCGGUAGCCCCGUUCCCCUCCCAAGUCUGUCCUGCCAAGCCCCCGGGGAACGACGUAAGCCUGGUCCUCGGGACUGGCCAGUGAGUUGGACGCUUGGGCCUUGCCGGGAGCUGUUGCGAGCGAGUUCUGUGCCUCGGACGAUUAACCACCAGUGAGUGGCUGGAACCUGGCUGGGUUAGGCUCCUUGCCUCAAGAAGGAACUCUGCCCUGCCUUCUCUUCCUUCAUUCCACUUGCAUCCCCCCUCCGCCAAUGCCAAGCCUUAGCCCUGUCGCAUCCCAUCAGUCUCCCGGAGCCCUGGGGACCGCGGUGACUGCUGUGGGAGAAAGGGACAAGCUGAGGGAGUUGGGGUUGACAGAUCCCACUGAGGUUCGUGGCCACAUGCCGCUGCUCCUUGGGGUCCGACUUAGAGUUCAUGAUGAUGGCAAUUGAGAACUCAUCCUUUGGUGAACAGCAGGAGCUGCGGGAACAUCCCUUCUCUCCGUGUUCCCCAACCCUAAGAGAGUACUUCCAUCGGGUCUGCUUCACCUUGACCAAAUACCAGGGUUUGCUCAAGAGGCCCGGGAAGGUGGAAGGGGCUAGAGAGGUGGGUGGCCGUCACCUCUUCUCAGCACAUUUCCAGCUCUGAGACUACGGUGCCUCUCGGCUACCCACCCAGACAGAGCCCGCAAGAUUCCAGGGGCCCUCUAUUCCGAUCCCUGUCUUCAAGCAGUUUUUUAUCUAAACUGAGAGAGACCAGAACCUGUCCUCUUAAAAUCUCAAUGGGAGGAGAACCUUCACAAACUGGCUUCAGUAUUCCACAACUAAUAGAAAGUUUCUUUGGGUCUAAUCUAAAUCCCUUCUCCUACAAAUUAAACCCAUUUCAAAAAUUAUCCUUAGUGGCAAGAAACGCUCGGGACACUGCCCCCCACUCAAUAGCUCAUCACACUCUCAGCUGGCCUGUAUUUCUGCCCCCCAGUCUCUCCCCCUCCCAUUUUCUUCCUUUCCAUCCCAUUGGACUUCCCCCACUCUGGUUUCCACGUGACGCCUGCCCUCCAGAGACAGGGAAUUUCAGCCAAGUGCUUUUGCUUCAUUCGGAGGAUGUCCUUAAAGUUAGCUGCUUCCCUCCUUUGGCCUCCUGCGGCCCAGAGUGACCAGGCCCUUUCUGGUCUUAUUCCAGCAGUCUUUCGGAGCCUUACGACUUUUCAUCCACCUUGUCCAAGUAGCUAACUCCGGGGUCGGGCAUGGUGGGGUGUUCUCAGACCUAAAGUUCAAACGCUUAGCGUGGGGACCCCGGCCUUUCAGUUCAAGGGCAGGAGGACGGGGUGACCGUUCCCAGAUGCCCAGAGAUGGCAGUUGGGUGUUCGAGACCCUGCCUCAGAGGCUAAUUCCUUUUUAGGGGGCCGGGAAGAGUUAUUUUAUACUGAGGGAGGCCUCUGAGUUGGGAUUUUCUGGUUAGAACCCCUGAAAUCACAUUUCCUAUGGAGGUCUCAGAACUUCCAGUCCUUCUUGGGCCUUGGGCCAAUUUUAUUCUAGAAUCUGCUGCUGUCCCGUGUGGGAAAACUCUUACUACAAGCGGGACCCUCCAAGGUGAGGAAGAGACUGGUCCCCUUUUUCUCUUUCCAUACCAAGGAGUGAUGAAUACUGCUGCUUCUCCUCUGUAACAAAUCCCACCACCAGCAGAAGUGUGGGUGUAGGAUGGAAGAGGAGAUCACUUCAUGAUGAUUUGUGACCUGAACAUGGAACAGAGAGAAAAAGGAAGGGGUAGGGGAGAAGGGAUAAAAGAGAGAAGGAAAUGAGGUUAAAGAGAUGAGGAGAAGGGAAAGUGUAAAGCUCAUAUCUCCCCACUCAAAAUUUCCAUCUGCUCCGACACCUCUCCCUGAUCACCCGUCAGAGGGGACAUGGAAAGGACUAGGGAAAACAGGAUGAGUCCAGAAACGGCAACAGCUGGAAAUGCCAGGAUGUGCCUGCGGUUGGACUUGGCAGAGGGUUGGGUGAGGAAGAGGGUGGGAGUGUGGGGGGCGUUGUGAGUAACACAUGGAUUCCUGAAGGAUGGACUGAGGAUUCUGGCCACACGCACCCACCCACCAGUAUGACUGGACCGCGGUGUUAGUUGGGAAGGUGAUUAUCUGUUCGCUCCUCCCCGCUCCUAGAAGACCAUUUUCCCCAAAGACUCUUGGGCUGGGGCGUGGGGUGUGUUUUCCUCCGUUUCUUUUUCUAAAUGCCUGGAUGAACCAUUGUUUUUGUAAAAUGAAAAACUGAAACGAA